RNAcentral lists this ribosomal RNA (836 nucleotides) under uncultured bacterium. RNAcentral's name for it is "bacterial SSU rRNA". It matches the Rfam family "Bacterial small subunit ribosomal RNA", at positions 59 to 893 of the family's 1533-position model. The record is from RNAcentral.
CAGUCGAACGAAGCGCUUUUCCGGAACUCUUCGGAGGGAAAGGGAAGUGACUGAGUGGCGGACGGGUGAGUAACGCGUGGGCAACCUGCCCCAUACAGGGGGAUAACAGCCGGAAACGGCUGCUAAUACCGCAUAAGCGCACGGGACCGCAUGGUUCUGUGUGAAAAACAAUAGUGGUAUGGGAGGGGCCCGCGUCUGAUUAGCCAGUUGGCGGGGUAGAGGCCCACCAAAGCGACGAUCAGUAGCCGGCCUGAGAGGGCGGACGGCCACAUUGGGACUGAGACACGGCCCAAACUCCUACGGGAGGCAGCAGUGGGGGAUAUUGCACAAUGGGGGGAACCCUGAUGCAGCGACGCCGCGUGGACGAAGAAGUAUUUCGGUAUGUAAAGUCCUAUCAGCAGGGAAGAAGAAAUGACGGUACCUGACUAAGAAGCCCCGGCUAACUACGUGCCAGCAGCCGCGGUAAUACGUAGGGGGCAAGCGUUAUCCGGAUUUACUGGGUGUAAAGGGAGCGCAGGCGGCAGCGCAAGUCUGAUGUGAAAGCCCGGGGCCCAACCGCGGGACUGCAUUGGAAACUGCGCAGCUGGAGUGCCGGAGGGGUAAGCGGAAUUCCUAGUGUAGCGGUGAAAUGCGUAGAUAUUAGGAGGAACACCAGUGGCGAAGGCGGCUUACUGGACGGCAACUGACGCUGAGGCUCGAAAGCGUGGGGAGCAAACAGGAUUAGAUACCCUGGUAGUCCACGCCGUANACGAUGAAUACCAGGUGUCGGGGGNCAGGGCCCUCCGGUGCCGCAGCAAACGCAGUAAGUAUUCCACCUGGGGAGUACGUUCGCAAGA